RNAcentral lists this ribosomal RNA (303 nucleotides) under uncultured bacterium. Its description in RNAcentral is "bacterial SSU rRNA". It matches the Rfam family "Bacterial small subunit ribosomal RNA", at positions 355 to 674 of the family's 1533-position model. The record is from RNAcentral.
UCGGGAAUAUUGCACAAUGGAGGAAACUCUGAUGCAGUGACGCCGCGUGCAGGAAGAAGGUUUUCGGAUUGUAAACUGCUUUAGACAGGGAAGAAACAAGACAGUACCUGUAGAAUAAGCUCCGGCUAACUACGUGCCAGCAGCCGCGGUAAUACGUAGGGAGCAAGCGUUAUCCGGAUUUAUUGGGUGUAAAGGGUGCGUAGACGGGAAUUUAAGUUAGUUGUGAAAUCCCUCGGCUUAACUGAGGAACUGCAACUAAAACUGAAUUUCUUGAGUGCGGGAGAGGAAAGUGGAAUUCCUAGU